UUAGAAAAUGUACUCAUCAGAUGGGUCGUUUUUUUUUUAAAAACGACCCAUCUGAUGAGUACAUUUUCUAAAUC
Paramuricea clavata is the source of this 74-nucleotide non-coding RNA. The record is from the annotation of a GenBank genome assembly. Lineage: Eukaryota; Metazoa; Cnidaria; Anthozoa; Malacalcyonacea; Plexauridae.